Long non-coding RNA from Centrocercus urophasianus (Greater sage-grouse), 255 nucleotides. RefSeq lists it as uncharacterized. The record is from RefSeq and is a predicted model, not a curated record. The transcript is spliced from 3 exons. Lineage: Eukaryota; Metazoa; Chordata; Aves; Galliformes; Phasianidae.
ACGAAAACAUUUUAAUGAGAAGAGUGAAUACCUGAAAAAUGGAUAAGUGCCGAUUGAAGGCUUUUUUUCAAGAAGUGUUUAGAUGUACAUUCUAUCCCUCAAGACCAAUGUGAUCAAUCUCUGGACAGCCAAAAGUGUAUUGGUUAGCACUCCAUCUAAUGGCAGCAUCAGAGAUCUCAUCUUUACAUUUACAGAGAUCUUGAAAUUAUAAAAGAGGUUUAGCUGAGUGACAUAUAUGUAAAGUGAAGAUCCUUU